This 19-nucleotide small RNA is filed under the name Arabidopsis thaliana (thale cress). RNAcentral describes it as "Ath_wt_03265". Lineage: Eukaryota; Viridiplantae; Streptophyta; Magnoliopsida; Brassicales; Brassicaceae. The record is from RNAcentral.
UGCACAUGGGUUAGUCGAU